This 200-nucleotide ribosomal RNA is filed under the name uncultured bacterium. RNAcentral describes it as "partial 16S ribosomal RNA". It matches the Rfam family "Bacterial small subunit ribosomal RNA", at positions 8 to 226 of the family's 1533-position model. The record is from RNAcentral.
AGAGUUUGAUCAUGGCUCAGGAUGAACGCUGGCGGCGUGCCUAAUACAUGCAAGUCGAGCGGUAAGGUCACUUCGGUGAUACACGAGCGGCGGACGGCAGAGUAACACGUAGGAACGUACCCCGAACUGAGGGAUAAGCACCAGAAAUGGUGUCUAAUACCGCAUGUGCUCCUUGGAGUAAAGCUCCGGCGGUUUGGGAA